Molecule: ribosomal RNA, 432 nt
Filed under: uncultured bacterium
Lineage: Bacteria
Description: partial 16S ribosomal RNA
Rfam family: Bacterial small subunit ribosomal RNA
Source: RNAcentral
AACGAACGCUGGCGGCAUGCCUAACACAUGCAAGUCGAACGAGACCUUCGGGUCUAGUGGCGCCCGGGUGCGUAACGCGUGGGAACCUGCCCUUAGGUUCGGAAUAACUCCCCGAAAGGGGUGCUAAUACCGGAUAAUGUCUUCGGACCAAAGAUUUAUCGCCUUUGGAUGGGCCCGCGUUGUAUUAGCUAGUUGGUAGGGUAAAAGCCUACCAAGGCGACGAUCCAUAGCUGGUCUGAGAGGAUGAUCAGCCACACUGGGACUGAGACACGGCCCAGACUCCUACGGGAGGCAGCAGUGGGGAAUAUUGGACACUGGGCGAAAGCCUGAUCCAGCAAUGCCGCGUGAGUGAUGAAGGCCUUAGGGUGGUAAAGCUCUUUUACCCGGGAUGAUAAUGACAGUACCGGGAGAAUAAGCUCCGGCUAACUCCGU